This is a long non-coding RNA of Hippopotamus amphibius kiboko, 178 nucleotides long. RefSeq lists it as uncharacterized. The transcript has 3 exons. The record is from RefSeq and is a predicted model, not a curated record. Lineage: Eukaryota; Metazoa; Chordata; Mammalia; Artiodactyla; Hippopotamidae.
UGGAGGAUGGCUGGUUAGCCAGAGACGGCGGCUGUGCUCCCGCCUGGAGGCUGCGCUGCCCUGGGUGCCCUGAGGCCAAUAAGUAUUCUUUUCCCUUACAGGUUAUUAUAAAAUAUUGAGUGUAGGCCUGUUGCAGAGGCACUGAAAGAGAGGGAGAGGCUACGCGCGCGGUUCCCCC